GCCCAGAUGGCGGAAUUGGUAGACGCGCCAGCUUCAGGUGCUGGUUCCCGAAAGGGAGUGGAGGUUCGAGUCCUCUUCUGGGCACCA
RNAcentral lists this transfer RNA (87 nucleotides) under Rhizobium sp. SG_E_25_P2. Its description in RNAcentral is "tRNA-Leu". It matches the Rfam family "tRNA". Rfam says of the family: Transfer RNA (tRNA) molecules are approximately 80 nucleotides in length. Their secondary structure includes four short double-helical elements and three loops (D, anti-codon, and T loops). The record is from RNAcentral. Lineage: Bacteria; Pseudomonadati; Pseudomonadota; Alphaproteobacteria; Hyphomicrobiales; Rhizobiaceae. RNAcentral also lists the same sequence under 1 other name.